UACAGAGGGCUCAAGCGUUGUUCGGAAUUAUUGGGCGUAAAGGGCGCGUAGGCGGCGCGGUAAGUCAGGCGUGAAAUCUCGGAGCUCAACUCCGAAACUGCACUUGAUACUGCCUUGCUGGAGUACUGGAGAGGAGAUUGGAAUUUACGGUGUAGCAGUGAAAUGCGUAGAUAUCGUAAGGAAGACCAGUGGCGAAGGCGAAUCUCUGGACAGUUACUGACACUGAGGCGCGAAGGCCAGGGGAGCAAACGGG
This 253-nucleotide ribosomal RNA is filed under the name uncultured bacterium. RNAcentral describes it as "partial 16S ribosomal RNA". It matches the Rfam family "Bacterial small subunit ribosomal RNA", at positions 524 to 776 of the family's 1533-position model. The record is from RNAcentral.